GAUUGUUUGCAGAUAAUGCUGUUCAAGCUCAACAGCUCUUUUGAGAGCCAACCCUCACAAACCUUCCUAAAAACUAAAAGAGCUGUUACUGAGUCUCAGCGAAUCUUGCCAUGAUCAGCUCUUCCCAGGUACAUUUGUUUAAAAUAUUUUUGAAUCAACAUUUACUCAUCAAAUGCUCUUGUCUGAAUCUUAUUUUAAAUUAACUUAAUUAUAUGUUUAAUGAGCAAUGUUAAUUGCACACAGAGUAAGAUUAUCUUGUUUUUCCGAAGAGAAGGAAGACCAAGGAAAUUAUUUGCUCAUGAGGAAUGAAGACGGCCAUCUUGAGCCCAAACAAAGACAGAAGUCCUCUGAUGAUCUCAUCAGCCAAAUGGGGGGUUUUGACCAAGUGAUGCUCUUGAAAGGACUGAAAGAAGAGGAUGUGGUAAAUUGUCUUCAGAGAAAAACCUUCUCUAAAGGUCUUAAAACAGCUUGAAGAAUGGUCUGGGAUCUUAGGACUGAGAGAUCCUCUGGCUGAGAGAAGCUACACCACAUCAGUGCUGGAUAUCAACCACAAACAGUUUCCAGACACGAGAGAAGAAGAUCACGAUGGGGAGAUGAAACCAGUUUAGAUGUGAUGAUGGGAAUCAUUAUUUUCUGGAACAGUAUCACAUGUCUCAUAAGUAUCACAUGAUCUGAUUGUUGACAGUUGACUGAAUGGAUUCUUUUUACUUUUAAGGACAUUUCAUCACUCAUCUGUGUGAACUGAUUAAUUUAUGAUAUUAAUGAAUUUUUUAUCCUUUAUUAUUUUCCUUGAAUUGUGUUUGUCUUGAAGCUACUUUAUCAACUUCAUAGUCUAUGCUUCAAUAAAAUUAAUAUGGUGAAUAUUGUGUGUUGAAAAUUCUUGGUAAAUUCAUAAUUUUACUAGAUACUGUAGGCUACUAUGGGUUUAUUCUACACUUGAAAAACUACAUAUUAAUUACCAGGAUUAUUUUUUUGCUUAAACAUUAAUGACAUCUGGAACAACAAUACACCAGAAAGUUAUUAUUGUAUAUAUUUAAUCACAAAUAUGCCUAUAUAUCUAUAUAAAGGGAUUUACUAGAUGAAUUAUUUUGAAAAGCCAUUUACUUUAUAGUUACAAACACUUGAGGGAUAACUGAGAAUGUAGCAGGAAUGAUCAACAUGGAUCUUGUACUGCAUUAAAUCCAAGAGCACGCACAUUACUGAUGUUCAGCAUCUGAGGACCCAGAUAAGGGGAUGAGGAGGACAUUUUUACACUGAUUGUUGCUAAUUAGUUAAUAUAUAUAGUAUUCUGAGUACUCCAUGAAUUAUUCCUUGUGGAAAAGUGAAGUAUCACAAUGUGUAUAAAUUGUCCUUGAUUACUGCUUAACAGUGGGGAAUAGAUAAUGGCAUGUUGUUGCAGGUUCAUCCAUUAUAUUUAUUACUGUUAACUUCAAAAAUAAAAUAAAUAAUCUAUAAUUUUUAUUAUUAAAUCAUUUCUUUCUAAUUUUGCCAUGUUUCAUCAGAUGGCCUCACCAUGUCCUGUCAAAAGCUUUACUGCUCAUGACAUAAGAAUAAGAAAAGGUUAGUCUAUGAAAACUGUCAGAUAUAAAUGUGACUCAGC
Long non-coding RNA from Carassius auratus (goldfish), 1600 nucleotides. The record is from Ensembl. Lineage: Eukaryota; Metazoa; Chordata; Actinopteri; Cypriniformes; Cyprinidae.